UGCUACCGGACCUAGCGGCGGACGGGUGAGUAAUGCUUAGGAAUCUGCCUAUUAGUGGGGGACAACAUCUCGAAAGGGAUGCUAAUACCGCAUACGUCCUACGGGAGAAAGCAGGGGAUCUUCGGACCUUGCGCUAAUAGAUGAGCCUAAGUCGGAUUAGCUAGUUGGUGGGGUAAAGGCCUACCAAGGCGACGAUCUGUAGCGGGUCUGAGAGGAUGAUCCGCCACACUGGGACUGAGACACGGCCCAGACUCCUACGGG
RNAcentral lists this ribosomal RNA (261 nucleotides) under Acinetobacter baumannii Naval-18. Its description in RNAcentral is "partial 16S ribosomal RNA". It matches the Rfam family "Bacterial small subunit ribosomal RNA", at positions 81 to 345 of the family's 1533-position model. The record is from RNAcentral. Lineage: Bacteria; Pseudomonadati; Pseudomonadota; Gammaproteobacteria; Moraxellales; Moraxellaceae.